GCGCCCUUAGUUUAAUGGUAAAACGAAGGUCUCCAAAACCUUUGUUGAGGGUUCGACUCCUUCAGGGCGCG
RNAcentral lists this transfer RNA (71 nucleotides) under bacterium. RNAcentral describes it as "tRNA-Trp". It matches the Rfam family "tRNA". Rfam says of the family: Transfer RNA (tRNA) molecules are approximately 80 nucleotides in length. Their secondary structure includes four short double-helical elements and three loops (D, anti-codon, and T loops). RNAcentral also lists the same sequence under 5 other names. The record is from RNAcentral.